ACGGGUGAGUAACACGUGGACAAUCUGCCCCCCGGUCCGGGAUAGCCCAGGGAAACCUGGAUUAAUACCGGAUGCGAGCGCGAGCACACAGGUGUUUGCGGGGAAAGGCGCUUCGGCGCCGCCGGGGGAUGAGUCCGCGGCCCAUUAGCUAGACGGCGGGGUAAAGGCCCACCGUGGCGACGAUGGGUAGCCGGCCUGAGAGGGUGAUCGGCCACAUUGGAACUGAGACACGGUCCAGACUCCUACGGGAGGCAGCAGCUAAGAAUCUUCCGCAAUGGGCGAAAGCCUGACGGAGCGACGCCGCGUGAACGAUGAAGGCCGUGAGGUUGUAAAGUUCUUUUCGGGAGGAGGAAUAAGCGGGGCAGGAAAUGGCCUUGCGAUGACGUGAAUCCCGGAAUAAGCCCCGGCUAACUACGUGCCAGCAGCCGCGGUAACACGUAGGGGGCGAGCGUUGUUCGGAAUCAUUGGGCGUAAAGGGCGUGCAGGCGGCCCUGCAAGUCCGGCGUGAAAUGCCCCGGCUCAACCGGGGAGACGCGCUGGAAACUGCGGGGCUGGAGUACAGGAGGGGAUGCCGGAAUUCCAGGUGUAGGGGUGAAAUCUGUAGAUAUCUGGAGGAACACCAAUGGCGAAGGCAGGCAUCUGGCCAUGUACUGACGCUGAGACGCGAAGGUGCGGGGAGCAAACAGGUUUAGAUACCCUGGUAGUCCGCACAGUAAACGAUGUGCACCAGGUGGCGGGGGGGUCGACCCCCCGGUACCGAAGCUAACGCAUUAAGUGCACCGCCUGGGGGAGUAUGCUCGCAAGGGUGAAACUCAAAGGAAUUGACGGGG
Molecule: ribosomal RNA, 830 nt
Filed under: uncultured Sphaerochaeta sp.
Lineage: Bacteria; Pseudomonadati; Spirochaetota; Spirochaetia; Spirochaetales; Sphaerochaetaceae
Description: bacterial SSU rRNA
Rfam family: Bacterial small subunit ribosomal RNA
Source: RNAcentral